Non-coding RNA from Nicotiana tabacum (common tobacco), 651 nucleotides. Lineage: Eukaryota; Viridiplantae; Streptophyta; Magnoliopsida; Solanales; Solanaceae. The record is from RefSeq and is a predicted model, not a curated record.
UCCCCCUCUCUAAAAUUCCUUCUCUGAUAAAAUUUCACCCAGCUUUAAAUCUCUCAAAUCAAGAUGUGAAUCUUAUUUAUCAGGUAUGUGAAAAUGACCGGGUCAGCUCCAAGAACUUGUCGCUCAGCAACAAUCUGAAGAGAUCGAGCAUUCCAUGAAUAUAGAUGAGAUUUUAUCCUCUGUUCUUGGUGAGAGAAAGGGCUAAGUUCGUAGAAAAGGGUAUGGAAAGAAUCCUCCCAAAAAGAGUCACACACAAUAGGCAAACAUAGAGUCCAGUGUAUCUUCUGCUAUGGAAAUUGUGCAUCAAGAGAUGCAAGCCGGCAUGGAUCGGAUCGGAAGUUGCAAGAAGAAUGUGAACAAAUGGCUACUGAGUUGCAAAAGAAUACGGAACUUGAGUUGCAAAGGAAGUUGGAACGUGAGUUAUCCAUGAACUUGGCAGAGGAGCGUGAACUCGUGAAUGUAGAAGCAGAGAAGAGGAUCCAGCUAGAAGUGGAAAAGAAGAUACAAGGAUAAUUUGCUACUUUCAUGAACAUAAUGCAACAGGUACAAGGUACUUAAACAAUGGUGUCGUUCAAAGAUGGCGUCGACCAAGGAACAGCUACGGCGCACUUAAUAUUUUAUUUAUUUUGGGGUCACAUGUAUAUGCGCACA